This 234-nucleotide ribosomal RNA is filed under the name uncultured bacterium. RNAcentral describes it as "partial 16S ribosomal RNA". It matches the Rfam family "Bacterial small subunit ribosomal RNA", at positions 28 to 260 of the family's 1533-position model. The record is from RNAcentral.
GACGAACGCUGGCGGCGUGCUUAACACAUGCAAGUCGAGCGGUAAGGCCCUUUCGGGGGUACGACGAGCGGCGAACGGGUGAGUAACACGUGGGUGACCUGCCCUCAGCUCUGGGAGUAAGCCUGGGAAACCGGGGUCUAAUACCGGAUAUGACUCCAUGACGCAUGUUGUGGGGUGGAAAGUCUUGUGCGGCUGAGGAUGGGCCCGCGGCCUAUCAGCUUGUUGGUGGGGGGA